CCUACGGGCGGCAACAGUCGAGAAUCAUUCACAAUGGGGGAAACCCUGAUGGUGCGACGCCGCGUGGGGGAAUGAAGGUCUUCGGAUUGUAAACCCCUGUCAUGUGGGAGCAAAUUAAAAUGAUUGUACCACAAGAGGAAGAGACGGCCAACUCUGUGCCCGCAGCCGCGGUAAUACAGAGGUCGCAAGCGUUGUUCGGAACCACUGGGCGUAAAGCGUGCGUAGGCGGUUUCGUAAGUCUGGUGUGAAAGGCGCGGGCUCAACCCGCGGACGGCACAUGAUACUGGGAGACUAGAGUAAUGGAGGGGGAACCGGAAUUCUCGGUGCAGCAGUGAAAUGCGUAGAUAUCGGGAGGAACACUCGUGGCGAAGGCGGGUUCCUGGACAUUAACUGACGCUGAGGCACGAAGGCCAGGAGAGCGAAAGGGAUUAGAUACCCUAGUAGUC
This 446-nucleotide ribosomal RNA is filed under the name uncultured bacterium. RNAcentral describes it as "partial 16S ribosomal RNA". It matches the Rfam family "Bacterial small subunit ribosomal RNA", at positions 338 to 795 of the family's 1533-position model. The record is from RNAcentral.